GCGGGAAUAGCUCAGUUGGUAGAGCACGCCCUUGCCAAGGUCGGGGUCGCGAGUUCGAGUCUCGUUUCCCGCUCCA
Molecule: transfer RNA, 76 nt
Filed under: Enterobacter cloacae
Lineage: Bacteria; Pseudomonadati; Pseudomonadota; Gammaproteobacteria; Enterobacterales; Enterobacteriaceae
Also listed under: 9 other names
Description: tRNA-Gly
Rfam family: tRNA
About the family: Transfer RNA (tRNA) molecules are approximately 80 nucleotides in length. Their secondary structure includes four short double-helical elements and three loops (D, anti-codon, and T loops).
Source: RNAcentral